Molecule: ribosomal RNA, 466 nt
Filed under: uncultured bacterium
Lineage: Bacteria
Description: partial 16S ribosomal RNA
Rfam family: Bacterial small subunit ribosomal RNA
Source: RNAcentral
GAUGAACGCUGGCGGCGUGCUUAACACAUGCAAGUCGAACGAUGAAGCCCAGCUUGCUGGGUGGAUUAGUGGCGAACGGGUGAGUAACACGUGAGUAACCUGCCCUUGACUCUGGGAUAAGCCUGGGAAACUGGGUCUAAUACUGGAUAUGACUUCUCAUCGCAUGGUGGGGGGUGGAAAGAUUUAUUGGUCUUGGAUGGACUCGCGGCCUAUCAGCUUGUUGGUGAGGUAAUGGCUCACCAAGGCGAUGACGGGUAGCCGGCCUGAGAGGGUGACCGGCCACACUGGGACUGAGAUACGGCCCAGACUCCUACGGGAGGCAGCAGUGGGGAAUAUUGCACAAUGGGCGCAAGCCUGAUGCAGCGACGCCCCGUUAGGAAUGACGUCCUUCGGGUUGUAAACCUCUUUCAGUAGUGAAGAAGCGAGAGUGACGGUACCUGCAGAAGAAGCGCCGGCUAACUACGUG